This 497-nucleotide ribosomal RNA is filed under the name uncultured bacterium. RNAcentral's name for it is "partial 16S ribosomal RNA". It matches the Rfam family "Bacterial small subunit ribosomal RNA", at positions 28 to 507 of the family's 1533-position model. The record is from RNAcentral.
GACGAACGCUGGCGGCGUGCCUAAUACAUGCAAGUUGAGCGCUGAAGGUUGGUACUUGUACCAACUGGAUGAGCAGCGAACGGGUGAGUAACGCGUGGGGAAUCUGCCUUUGAGCGGGGGACAACAUUUGGAAACGAAUGCUAAUACCGCAUAAAAACUUUAAACACAAGUUUUAAGUUUGAAAGAUGCAAUUGCAUCACUCAAAGAUGAUCCCGCGUUGUAUUAGCUAGUUGGUGAGGUAAAGGCUCACCAAGGCGAUGAUACAUAGCCGACCUGAGAGGGUGAUCGGCCACAUUGGGACUGAGACACGGCCCAAACUCCUACGGGUGGCAGCAGUAGGGAAUCUUCGGCAAUGGACGAAAGUCUGACUGAGCAACGCCGCGUGAGUGAAGAAGGUUUUCGGAUCGUAAAACUCUGUUGGUAGAGAAGAACGUUGGUGAGAGUGGAAAGCUCAUCAAGUGACGGUAACUACCCAGAAAGGGACGGCUAACUACGUG